AGUGCGGCGUGCUAUACAUGCAGUCGAGCGCAGGAAGCUCACGGAACUCUUCGGAGGGAAGUGAAGGGAAUGAGCGGCGGACGGGUGAGUAACACGUAAGGAACCUGCCCCAAGGAUUGGGAUAACUCCGAGAAAUCGGAGCUAAUACCGAAUAGUUCUUCAGACCGCAUGGUCUGAUGAUGAAAGGCGCUCCGGCGUCACCUUGGGAUGGCCUUGCGGUGCAUUAGCUAGUUGGUGGGGUAAUGGCCCACCAAGGCGACGAUGCAUAGCCGACCUGAGAGGGUGAUCGGCCACACUGGGACUGAGACACGGCCCAGACUCCUACGGGAGGCAGCAGUAGGGAAUCUUCCACAAUGGACGAAAGUCUGAUGGAGCAACGCCGCGUGAGUGAUGAAGGUUUUCGGAUCGUAAAACUCUGUUGUAAGGGAAGAACAGGUAUGAGAGGUAAUGCUCAUGCUAUGACGGUACCUUACGAGAAAGCCACGGCUAACUACGUGCCAGCAGCCGCGGUAAUACGUAGGUGGCAAGCGUUGUCCGGAAUUAUUGGGCGUAAAGCGCGCGCAGGCGGCCUUUUAAGUCUGAUGUGAAAGCCCCCGGCUCAACCGGGGAGGGUCAUUGGAAACUGGAAGGCUUGAGUACAGAAGAGAAGAGUGGAAUUCCAUGUGUAGCGGUGAAAUGCGUAGAGAUGUGGAGGAACACCAGUGGCGAAGGCGACUCUUUGGUCUGUAACUGACGCUGAGGCGCGAAAGCGUGGGGAGCAAACAGGAUUAGAUACCCUGGUAGUCCACGCCGUAAACGAUGAGUGCUAGGUGUUGGGGGGUUUCCGCCCCUCAGUGCUGAAGCUAACGCAUUAAGCACUCCGCCUGGGGAGUACGGCGCAAGGCUGAAACUCAGAGAAAUAUGACCGG
Molecule: ribosomal RNA, 908 nt
Rfam family: Bacterial small subunit ribosomal RNA